CCUACGGGUGGCAGCAGUGGGGGAUAUUGCACAAUGGGCGAAAGCCUGAUGCAGCAACGCCGCGUGGGCGAUGAAGGCCUUCGGGGCGUAAAGCCCUGUCCUCAAGGAAGAUAAUGACGGUACUUGAGGAGGAAGCCCCGGCUAACUACGUGCCAGCAGCCGCGGUAAUACGUAGGGGGCUAGCGUUAUCCGGAAUUACUGGGCGUAAAGGGGGCGUAGGUGGUUUCUUAAGUCAGAGGUGAAAGGCUACGGCUCAACCGUAGUAAGCCUUUGAAACUGGGGGACUUGAGUGCAGGAGAGGCAGGUGGAAUUCCUGGUGUAGCGGUGAAAUGCGUAGAUAUUAGGAGGAACACCGGUGGCGAAGGCGGCCUGCUGGACUGUAACUGACGUUGAGGCACGAAAGCGUGGGGAGCAAACAGGAUUAGAUACCCCGGUAGUC
Molecule: ribosomal RNA, 439 nt
Filed under: uncultured bacterium
Lineage: Bacteria
Description: partial 16S ribosomal RNA
Rfam family: Bacterial small subunit ribosomal RNA
Source: RNAcentral